RNAcentral lists this ribosomal RNA (76 nucleotides) under Clostridium gasigenes. Its description in RNAcentral is "partial 16S ribosomal RNA". It matches the Rfam family "Bacterial small subunit ribosomal RNA", at positions 1 to 76 of the family's 1533-position model. The record is from RNAcentral. Lineage: Bacteria; Bacillati; Bacillota; Clostridia; Eubacteriales; Clostridiaceae.
UUUAGUGAGAGUUUGAUCCUGGCUCAGGACGAACGCUGGCGGCGUGCCUAACACAUGCAAGUCGAGCGAGAGGAGU